Long non-coding RNA from Homo sapiens (human), 636 nucleotides. Lineage: Eukaryota; Metazoa; Chordata; Mammalia; Primates; Hominidae. The record is from Ensembl.
AACUAGUCCGAGAAAGUUAGAGGAUGGAAAAGAGUAGAAUGGUGCAAGAAAUUAUAGGAACUAAGAUUAGAAAAAGAGUCAAGGAAUUCUUAAUGGAGCUUUUAUAUACUAUGCUACAAAAAUUGAGUUUAUUCUGGAAAUAAUGACGAUGCAUCAAAAGGUUGAAAGUGGUUGGAGGAUAAAUUGGAUGGAACAUAAAAAUAUUUUUUAAUUGGAAAAUAUGAAAAUGAGGAGAAUCAUAAGGAGGGAUUCCAGGCAAGGAAAGCUUGUAUCCAAUGCAUGUUGCUGACAUUAUGCUCUGCAGAUUCUCAUUACACCAAGUUCUUCUGUGUUCAUCUGCUUCCUCAAGGCCAUUAUCCAUUACAUCUGUCUCAGCUCAGCUGAUGCUCUGGCAGUGGUUCUCUGCGUUGAGCAUUGCUGCCACACACCUUUGGUCUUUAAACCUGAACUGGAAUGAAGCUUAAACUGAAAUGUAGAGGGCAAAUGGUGUGCAAAACAAACUUUAAGUAGUAGUGAUUAAUCUUUCCAAUGAAUUUUUCUGUUUUUAGCCCAUUAAUUUUCAAUAAACAUUAAUGAAGUACUUAUCAUGUAUUAGCCACUAUGUUACCUCCAAAAAUAAAGAUGAUAGAUAAACGA